GAGUAACGCGUGAGAAUCUGGCUUCAGGUCGGGGACAACCACUGGAAACGGUGGCUAAUACCGGAUAUGCCGAGAGGUGAAAGAUUAAUUGCCUGAAGAUGARCUCGCGUCUGAUUAGCUAGUUGGGAGUGUAAGARACUACCAAGGCGACGAUCAGUAGCUGGUCUGARAGGAUGAUCAGCCACACUGGGACUGARACACGGCCCAGACUCCUACGGGAGGCAGCAGUGGGGAAUUUUCCGCAAUGGGCGAAAGCCUGACGGARCAAUACCGCGUGAGGGAGGAAGGCUCUUGGGUUGUAAACCUCUUUUCUCAAGGAAGAAAAAAAUGACGGUACUUGAGGAAUAAGCAUCGGCUAACUCCGUGCCAGCAGCCGCGGUAAUACGGARGAUGCAAGCGUUAUCCGGAAUGAUUGGGCGUAAAGCGUCCGCAGGUGGCUGUGAAAGUCUGCUGUUAAAGAAUGAGGCUCAACCUCAUCAGARCAGUGGAAACUACACGGCUAGAGUGCGUUCGGGGUAGARGGAAUUCCUGGUGUARCGGUGAAAUGCGUAGAUAUCAGGAAGAACACCGGUGGCGAAGGCGCUCUACUARGCCGCAACUGACACUGAGGGACGAAAGCUAGGGGARCGAAUGGGAUUA
This 639-nucleotide ribosomal RNA is filed under the name Nostoc sp. IMU16. Its description in RNAcentral is "bacterial SSU rRNA". It matches the Rfam family "Bacterial small subunit ribosomal RNA", at positions 108 to 780 of the family's 1533-position model. Lineage: Bacteria; Bacillati; Cyanobacteriota; Cyanophyceae; Nostocales; Nostocaceae. The record is from RNAcentral.